GAUGAACGCUAGCUACAGGCUUAACACAUGCAAGUCGAGGGGUAACAAGAGAAAAGCUUGCUUUUCUUGUUGACGACCGGCGCACGGGUGAGUAACGCGUAUCCAACCUGCCUAUAACUAGGGAAUAACCUUGCGAAAGUAAGACUAAUACCCUAUGAUUUCCUUUGAUGACAUCAGAUUAGGAAUAAAGAUUUAUCGGUUAUAGAUGGGGAUGCGUCUGAUUAGCUUGUUGGCGGGGUAACGGCCCACCAAGGCAACGAUCAGUAUGGGUUCGGAGAGGAGGGUCCCCCACAUUGGAACUGAGACACGAUCCAAACUCCUACGGGAGUCAGCAGUGAGGAAUAUUGGUCAAUUGGCGGAAGCCUGAACAAGCCAAGUAGCGUGCAGGAUGACGGCCUUAUGGGAUGUAAACUGCUUUUAUACAGGAAUAAAGUUAGCCACGUGUGGUUAUUUGUAGGUACUGUAUGAAUAAGGACCGGCUAAUUCCGUGCCAGCAGCCGCGGUAA
RNAcentral lists this ribosomal RNA (506 nucleotides) under uncultured bacterium. RNAcentral describes it as "partial 16S ribosomal RNA". It matches the Rfam family "Bacterial small subunit ribosomal RNA", at positions 28 to 523 of the family's 1533-position model. The record is from RNAcentral.